Molecule: ribosomal RNA, 439 nt
Filed under: uncultured bacterium
Lineage: Bacteria
Description: partial 16S ribosomal RNA
Rfam family: Bacterial small subunit ribosomal RNA
Source: RNAcentral
CCUACGGGCGGCAGCAGUGGGGAAUAUUGCACAAUGGGCGAAAGCCUGAUGCAGCAACGCCGCGUGAGCGAUGAAGGCCUUCGGGUCGUAAAGCUCUGUCUUCAAGGAAGAUAAUGACGGUACUUGAGGAGGAAGCCACGGCUAACUACGUGCAAGCAGCCUCGGUAAUAGGUAGGGGGCUAGCGUUAUCCGGAAUUACUGGGCGUAAAGGGUGCGUAGGUGGUUUCUUAAGUCGGAGGUGAAAGGCUACGGCUAAACCGUAGUAAGCCUUUGACACUGGGGAACUUGAGUGCAGGAGAGGAGAGUGGAAUGCGUGGUGUAGCGGUGAAAUGCGUAGAUAUUAGGAAGAACACCAGUUGCGAAGGCAGCUCUCUGGACUGUAACUGACACUGAGGCACGAAAGCGUGGGGAGCAAACAGGAUUAGAUACCCUGGUAGUC